Molecule: non-coding RNA, 1450 nt
Organism: Cajanus cajan (pigeon pea)
Lineage: Eukaryota; Viridiplantae; Streptophyta; Magnoliopsida; Fabales; Fabaceae
Source: RefSeq, a predicted model, not a curated record
UAUCAAUUUUGAUAUAUACUAACUUUGUUCUUGUAAAUCAAAUAUGGUCUAUUGUUUUUCAUUUACGGGGAAUACAUUUUUAUAUCACAAUGCCUAGAAAAAACAAUCAUAGACUUGUAGAUAGACAUUAUGAUGAAGUAGAGCCUUAUAUAGAGCAAUUAAUGAACACCCCAAAUUGUUGUGAACCCAAGUCAAAUGAAUUGAAAAAUUCAGGUGGCCUAAUAGGAUUAUCGUACAUGACAAGGUAUAAGACUAGAGAUGCCUUGAUAAAAGCAGACCAACUCGAAUACCAAGGGACCAAUGGACUGGUCUUGUCUCUUAUUGGCUUUUUGAUAAAGGAAAGAAGCGCAACCAAGCAAAUAGAAAUAAUAGGACAAAGCAAAAGAUGCCUCACACUAGAGGAUCCAAAAGUAUUGGAACCUUAAUGGUUGAAAAGGCCAUAGAUGGGAUAGAGCCUACAAGGGCAGAAAUCUUUAUAUUAACUCAUCAAAGACGUAAAGAUGGAAGACCAUUGGAUGACGUGUCUGCAAAAAUAGUGGAUGUGAUGCAAGAAAAAUUGAACAAUGGUGAAACAUCUAAUGAAAAACCUAUUGGUAGUGUUGCUUAGGAAGGAGAUGUGUAUUCCCAAGUAUUGGGGGCUGAAAGAAGUGGCUAUGUUCGUGGCUUAGGACUUGGUCCAACACCUUCUUUGUUGUGGGGUUCUAAAUCUUCCAUAGGAAGUACUUUUGCUAAUAAUAUAUCUAAUGAGGUAGUACAAAGAUUAGAGCAAGAGGUGAAGAUGUUAAAGGAGUUAAAGGAAAAACAUGAUGAAGAAAUGAAUUUGAUGAAACAAAAUCAAGAUAAGUUACUUUCAGAACUAUCUUUUGUUAGAAAAUUCAUGUACAAACAUUUUCCAAUGGAGCUAUCUAUGCCUCAAAAGUAAUGGAAGCUCAUUUGGACAACUAUGAUUCAAAUGCUUUUAAACUUUUUUUUUUCUUUUCAAAUUUUGAUUGUAAAAGACAAUGUUAUUUUCUUAUGUUUUAAUUAGGUCUUUGGUACUAAUAUUGGCCAGGAAAAAGCACCAGAAAUGCCACACAUGUCCUUUGGUGCUCAUGAAUCACAAUUACCUACAAAAUCUACUGCAACUAUGAAAACAGGUUUGACCCAUGUCUUCUUGUUUUACACAUUCUAUUUUUUCUUAAAUAAGUUUAAGUUACUUUUGUAAAAGCAUGAGUAACAUGAACAAUAAACUCAUGGAUAUAGGCUCUUAAUUACACUUAAGGAAAUAGGAUGGCAACUUGUAUAAUUAAAUGACUUUUAAUAGUGGGUUUACAAAUCUAAAUUAUCUACUUGUUGAUUUCUUGUAAUGUCUCAACACUCAACCUUUUUGUUUGGAUUUGCAUAAUCACAAUCAACUAAAAUUCCAACUAUUAUAGUGAAAACAGUUUUAAAAAAAUCUUGUUGCUUCUCU